This is a long non-coding RNA of Malus domestica (apple), 544 nucleotides long. RefSeq lists it as uncharacterized. NCBI's taxonomy places the organism in Eukaryota, Viridiplantae, Streptophyta, Magnoliopsida, Rosales, Rosaceae. The record is from RefSeq and is a predicted model, not a curated record.
UUUUACAUUAAAAACUGAAAUAGCUAGGUGUUAUGGUUCUAUUCGCUAGGAACUCCACGUCACUUCAUGUUCUAGGCACUCAGAAAAAUUUCUCCGUGUAGUGCUUCGCUGCAGCUUGUUGCUGCACCGUUCUAGGUACCAAGUGUGGUAGCUAUGCGCAAACCAACAGGAUCCUCUUCAGAUCCUUUUGGUUAGGAUUUUGAGGAUUCGUGAAUCGUGUUCGUUCAUCGUACAUCAUGCGGAUAUUAAGAUAAAUGGGAUCAUUGGGCGUGACACUAAGAGAUAGGGGCUAUAUUAUGUGGAUGACAUGGUUGCUAGAAGAGCUAAUUUCGUUCCUGCGUCGCGUAAUAGUAAUCUACAGAAGUUAUUGUUGUUGCAUCGUCAUUUGGGCAUGCGUCGUUUGGUUAUUUGAAAUAUAUGAUACCUGAUUUGUUCAGUGGUAUUGAAGACUUAGAAUUAAAGUACGAGGUAUCUAUUUUAGCUAAAAGUCAUCGUGCUUCAUUCCCUUCAAGUAUGAAUCAAAGGCCUUUUCCGUUUGCGUUCA